AUUGAACGCUGGCGGCAUGCCUUACACAUGCAAGUCGAACGGCAGCACGGGAGCAAUCCUGGUGGCGAGUGGCGAACGGGUGAGUAAUAUAUCGGAACGUGCCCAGUCGUGGGGGAUAACGCAGCGAAAGCUGUGCUAAUACCGCAUACGAUCUAUGGAUGAAAGCAGGGGAUCGCAAGACCUUGCGCGAAUGGAGCGGC
Molecule: ribosomal RNA, 200 nt
Filed under: uncultured bacterium
Lineage: Bacteria
Description: partial 16S ribosomal RNA
Rfam family: Bacterial small subunit ribosomal RNA
Source: RNAcentral